AGUUGUGCUGGACUAGCUUUGCAUGGCGGGCUCCCUGCGCUUCGGCGUGGCUAACCGUCUUGGGGCAGUCUUUUCACUGGGCCUCCCGUCGUGCUCUCGUGGCCCGGGAGGCACGCUUGCAUAUCGGUCGUCUGUGUGGGUCUACCCGUCUGCGGUACGACGUUCGGUCUCAUGACGGAUCUCUGCUAGCCCUGUCGAUAUUUGCUAUCGGCGGGGCAGCCGUUUUGUUGGCAUUAUGCACGUGCUGUUGUGGGCGACAGCCUCGAUCCUGCGCCUGCAUUUUGCCGGCUCUCUCGGAUACCGUGCCCUUGAAGGAAUUCUCGGGACUAUCGGUCCCUUGAUUUCCGCGGGUUGUCCCUUGCGCUCGUUCAGUGCUCCGCUGUCUCAUUGCCCAUGUGGCGAUGUCGGCGCGUGUUGAAGUGCAAGUGAGAUGCUUAUCCGAUUGGCUGAGCGAUUGCCGCUUUCAUGUUGUUCUCCAACGACGAGGCGGCUCUCGUUUAAGACGGGCUACCUGGUUGAUCCUGCCAGUAGUCA
This 534-nucleotide unclassified non-coding RNA is filed under the name Tricostularia newbeyi. RNAcentral's name for it is "partial external transcribed spacer". The record is from RNAcentral. Lineage: Eukaryota; Viridiplantae; Streptophyta; Magnoliopsida; Poales; Cyperaceae.